GGGUUGGGGCCGUGCUGGGUGGGGUGGGGUGGGGGGCGGAGGGGCCGCGCUGCUGGCGGCGUGACAGCGAUAGGGACUGGCUGUGCUGCCGACUCCGCGCCGGCAGGAGGAGGAGGCGGCGGAGGCUGGCUCCUUACUCAGCCUGCAGGCUGUUACUGCUGCUGCUGCUCAGCCUCUGCCUGGUGCUGCCGGGGAGCCUCUGCGGCCAAACCCCACUCUCGAGUGGCAGACAGAUUUGGAGUGAAUCACAUCAAAACUUUACCUCAGCCCUACUCCAUGAUUUCAGCCUGUAUCCUAAGAAUAUGAACCGGGCUGCAGACUUCUCAUAGUGCCCAGAUUGUGUACCUGUUGCCCCUCGGUGUUUUGAAACUUCUUCGGAGUUCGUCAGUGCAAGGAGGCCAGCAUCCUCAUCCCAGGACAUAGUGAUCUGCAGGAGGUCUCUACUGAUCUCAUCUGGUCUGGUCAAGACUUGGCUGGACUCAGCCGAAUUCAGCUGGGCUUUGCUCCAGGACACAGCUCACAAAGCCAAAGAGUUGAUUUGAGGACACAGGCCACCAGGACUGAUACCAGCCAUGAAGAGUAUCCAGGAGCUGUUAUAGAGGCAGCACAUCCCCAAGCAGCCAGCACGGCACCACCAAGCUCCUUCCCUGGGAACUACACUCAGCAUCUCAACAUCCAGCCACCACAGUUUUGAACUGUGUCUGUGAGCACCCGUGCUGCAUCUCGAUUUAUUUUGUGCAUCUGUUAGCAAGAUGUGUCCUAAGGUAAUUGCUUCUUUGCUUUACACGAUCUUGGCUUACAAAUGUUUUCCUGGGAAUGCUCUACUUUCAGAUAGGAGGGAAACCGGUAGAUGCUUCACUCCACUCUCUUCCUCCAUCGUCACAUGGCCUUCUUCCUUACCCGUGUCUCUGCGUCUGAUUCUCCUUCUCCUUCCUCUUAGGAGGACACCAGUCAUUGGAUUUAGGGCCGCCCCCCAAUCUAGAAUGACCUCAUCUUAACUAAUUACGUCUGCAAAGAGCCUAUUUCCAAAUAAGGUCACAUUCUGAGGUUCUGGGUGGACAUGAACUUUGGGAGGACACUACUAAACCCAGUGCAGUUCCUCUGUUUAAUACUAGAAAACUAGAGGUAUUAUUAGGCAGACUAUGCUCAAAAGAGAGCUUCAGGCAAAAAUUCAGAGAGGGCAUCGUUUAAACCUUGAGGGGAACAGGUUGGGAAGACUUGGGGUAGAAGGUAAGACUGAACCUCUGCUUAGGUAUGUCAUACAUCUGUGACAGUUUCGGAGCUGCAAAAGAACACGGUUGAGCGCUGUUGCUCUAGGUCAUGUGAAGGUGAGCAUUGCUUACUUUGAAUAAAACUCUCAAGCCAUUUUAGACGCUCACACCAUGAGGUACCAUUUUCCUUCCACUGGUUUCUCUGUCAGAGCCUUUUGUGAUGUGCUUCUGUCCUGAUGAGCCCCUCACAGGAGGUGGGGAGCCCUGGAUAUCACCUCCCUAGUACCUGCUGUCCUCUGGUGACUAAUUUCUGGAGGAGUGUAUUUCAGAAGUUUGGGAAAACAAAUGUGCUAUGUGAGUGUUGGCAAGAAUACUUUUGAAUGUCUACAAACUGGCUAUUUCAAAAUCAAGCCUGUGUGUGGACAAGACAAAGCUUGAAGUCCUUGGCUAAGACAUCAUGGGUGCCAAGUUCAAAAGUAGAAGACACCGCUUCUCGAGCUAGUUGAUCCAAAUACAAAACAGAAUGUAAAAUGUUGUUACUAUAUUAAGUCUCACUGUCUCAAAUUUUCUUUAACAUGCUUGGGCUCUGGGGUCAGGCAGACCCGAUUCAAAUCCCAUUUCUGCUCCCCAGUAGUGAUGAGACCUUGAUGUGUACCUGCUCUGAGCUUCAGUUUGAAAAUCUACGGAAUGGUCCUAAUACACCUGUGCGAAGACCUGCCAUGAGGAUUAAAUGACAGAUGUCCCUUGCCCUACUCCUGAUUCUGUCUGUAGUCUUUCCUUAUCGUCUUGAAGUCAGUAGCAUUUAUUGCCUCAGGGGAAGAGUGAUAAGGCAGAAAAACCAGAAAACUACUUAGGACUGGGACACCGGGUUAAUACUAUGAGCAGUCAUGGUGGGAAAACAGACAUGGACAGCCCAAAGAAGACAGCAGUGGAGCAUCUCCAUGACCAGUAGGUACAGAUUGGGUGUCUUCCUCCAGCAGCGGGCCUGCGAAACAACUCCAAACGUGGUGCGGGCAGUGGGAGACGUCCAAAGAAUUCUCAGACAGGCUGUGCGGCCAGGCUCGGGCUUCACACCCUGGGGAGCCACGCACCACCCCAGGAACGACCAGGACAAGUGCCACUUAAGGGACGCGCCCAGCAGGCCCCUCCGCUGCACAGGAAAAGUGGUCCAUAAUGGUGCAACCCACGAAUGAGGCUGGUGUGGAUUCAAUGGGACCCAGUAGGACCUCUCACAGGCUGAGUGAGUGAAUCCGUUUGAACCACUUAGCACAAUGUCUUGCCUACAGUGAGUGUUCUAUUCAUGUUAGUCAUUGUUAUAUUUCCAGCCCUCUAGAAAUAUGUUUGCUAGGAGUUUGGUUUAGUGAUCUGAUGACACAGAAAGUUGGCAGCCCCCUCAGAUCCCUUGUGGAAUGAGAAAGGGUAUAAAUAAGUGCAAGUAAACAAGAAUGUGGCUUGGGUACUUGCUGUUGUAGGCUCUUUGAGGGUGUAGGUGUUUGGGUAGGUAACUAAGAAUGCUGCCUUUCUUCUCGUGAAUUAACAGUUUAUUGUCUGGGAUGUGAGAAGGUGGAAGAAACUACUCAAGCGUACAAGUUUUUGGUGCAGCAGAAUGAAGAAACGCCAUACUCUUUGAGAUGGAGCAAAUAUAAGAAACUUAAAUUUUUGCAGAAUUAGGAAUGGCUCACAGAUCCAGUCUGAAGAUACCAAACUUCCAGCUAAUUCUUUACAUUUUAUAAUAUACCCCUGUGCUUUGGAAUAACUCUCUCCAGGAAUUUUAUAGCCAGCCCCUGCAGACCCAAACGCAGUGAGCGUGUUCUGCAUGCUGGGCUGGGCCGAAGGACAAUGGUAAGGGCCGCCAGCUCUGUCUUUGACAUUUCAUAGCCACUGUCUGCCCCAUCCGCAUCCUCUCCCCUGCAGCUCGUGUUACCGGCCUGCUACCUCCGUCACUCAGGAAGAUGACAAAAGGCAUUUAUCCUAAAGUAUUAGUGACGUAAGCAUUACUUCCUCAGGAGGAUUUGUAUUUUAAAAGCGAACCUAGAAAGUGAAAAAGAAAAUUACAGGACAGUACGUAAGGCUGUGUUAGGGGUCUGUUAAUUCCAAGAAAUAGAAACUCACUCAAGUUAAAAAAAAAAAAAAAGGAAAGGAAAACAAGAAAGAAAGAAAAAAACUUACUAGAAAGCUGUAAUCUGCAUGAAACUUGAUUGCAGGUAGUGUGGUGUGGCCUCAAGGAACUGAAAAGUUCUCAGGCAAUUAUUCUCUUCAACUUUUUUUUUUUUGUAAUUACCCCCCCUCCAACUCUUUUUCACUCUCUGGGGUGUCCUGGUCUCUCGUCUCUACUGCCUGUGUCUACCUCAGUCUUUUCUCUCAGCAGACAGCUUUCAGUCAUCAGCUUGCGUGUGACCCCGCCAUGGCUGCCCUGAAAUGGUGGCCUCAGAGAGAUGGUGGGUUUUUUUGUUUUGUUUUUUUUGGCCACUCCGUGGAGCUUGUGGGAUCUUAGUUCCCCAACCAGGGAUUGAACCCGGGCCCUUGGCAGUGAAAGUACGGAGUCCUAACCACUGGACCACCAGGGAAUUCCCAGAGAGAUGGUGUUUUAGAAGUGGAAGUAGAGACCUUGCCAGAGACCCUUGUCAUCCCACAUGAACAUGCAGAAGGCCUAGCCAGUCACUGCACGCGUUUUGUAGGCGUGGAUGUCCAUUCCCUCCUACGCUCGAAGGCAAAGUUGAUCUACGUAUCUGUCCACCCUUCUCUCCUCCACUUCACAAUGUCCCUUACGGUGCUGAACUGUGUUCCCCCUUUUCCCACCGCAAUCACCCCUUAUGCAACUACCUGAGAGCUCUUUCUAAAAUGCAAAGCAAGCCCACCCCUUAGCUGUGUAAAUCCUUUUCCGGCUCUCUGACCAAGGCAGGGAGACUCCCUCCCCCUGGGGCCACUUCCUUUAUUUUCAGCCCUGCCUUUUGCCUCCUCCCUUUCCCCAGAUCCAGCCUCCAAGAAGCUUCUUCUCCCUGAGAUGCCCUGCCCCCUCUUUGCCCACCUAGCAAACUCCUACUUUCCCUUCAAUGCCCUGCUCAAAGCCACCUCCUCUGUGAAGCCUUCCUUGAUUAUCCACAGGCACAGGCCUUUUUUCUUUCUUUUCCUGUGAUCCUUUGUUUACCCAUCUCUGCCAGCAGAUCUGUCUUCUCUACCAGAGCAGGAACCCUUUCAGGGCAGGGAUUAGGCUUUAUUUGUGUCUGUACUAAGCCCAGAGCCCAGCAUCAACUAGGUUUUCAGUGUAAGGUAGUUGCAAGGCUGUGAAGCACUGGUGCUACCCACCUGGGUUCAAAGCCAGGCUCUGCAACCUACUGUGACUUAACAUCUUCAUGCCUCAGUUUCCCUACCUGUAAAAAGGGGAUAAUGAUACUUCCUAUCUCACACAUUUUUGCUGAAAUUUAAAUGAGGGAACAUAUGCAAAGUGUUUGUUACUCAUGUAUGAAUUAUUAUUUUCUUCAUUAUUUCUGAAUAAGGUGUUCAGCAGGAGGGUGGCACACAGAGCCUUGCAACAACUCAAGAUUUUGUUUAGAAAAGACUAUUGCCCGGAGACAUGCAUGCUGAUAUUACUUCAAAAUAUUUUGUGGCAAUGGCACACUGGCCUGUCGUCUUCGUGGAGAGAUUCAGGAAAGUUACAAAAUACCAUCUCUUUCCUGGAAGGAUCUUGCCUAUUUCCUUACCUCUUGUCCAUUUGCAAGGAGCACAUUUAAUAACCCAGACAAAGUGUCAGAAGAAAAUUGGCUGGAAAGGGUUAAUCCCGGAGCCUUGGAAGGAAUUAGGCCCUGGGGAAAGAUGGGUUUCUAGGGAUGGUAGAGAAUAAGGCUUUCCUGCAUCCAUCCCAGGCGCUGGGAGGCAUCGCCAUGGUGAUGCAGAGUGUGGGUCCACUUUGCAUUUAUGUGGGGCUUUGUAUUUCUUCAAUUCUGGUGAGGUUCAGUUGAAAUACAUUAUGGAGAAAAGAGGCACAGAGAAAGGUAAAUGCUUUGCUCAGCCAGGGUGGUAUGGCAAGUUACUGGAAAGGCGGGCACUAGACCCCUGAUUCAUUCAAUAACAAGUAUCUGUGGAGCCUGCUCUGUGCCAGGCCCAAUUCCAGGUAUGGAGGACUCAGCAGAAAGCAAGGUAGAGUCUCUGACCUAACAGGGCUGCAGGCAAUAAUCAAGGAAGCCAAUAUCUGGCAUAUUUCUUUUUUUUCCUUUUUUGAUGUGGACUAUUUUUAAAGUCUUUAUUGAAUUUGUUACAAUAUUUCUUCUGUUUUAUGUUUUGGUGUU
Long non-coding RNA from Aethalodelphis obliquidens (Pacific white-sided dolphin), 5497 nucleotides. RefSeq lists it as uncharacterized. The transcript has 9 exons. Lineage: Eukaryota; Metazoa; Chordata; Mammalia; Artiodactyla; Delphinidae. The record is from RefSeq and is a predicted model, not a curated record.